This 967-nucleotide ribosomal RNA is filed under the name uncultured bacterium. RNAcentral's name for it is "bacterial SSU rRNA". It matches the Rfam family "Bacterial small subunit ribosomal RNA", at positions 538 to 1501 of the family's 1533-position model. The record is from RNAcentral.
UUGAUGUUCGGAUUAUUGGGCGUAAGAGCUCGUAGGCGGUUUGUCGCGUCUGCCGUGAAAGUCCGGGGCUCAACUCCGGAUCUGCGGUGGGUACGGGCAGACUAGAGUGAUGUAGGGGAGACUGGAAUUCCUGGUGUAGCGGUGAAAUGCGCAGAUAUCAGGAGGAACACCGAUGGCGAAGGCAGGUCUCUGGGCAUUAACUGACGCUGAGGAGCGAAAGCAUGGGGAGCGAACAGGAUUAGAUACCCUGGUAGUCCAUGCCGUAAACGUUGGGCACUAGGUGUGGGGGACAUUCCACGUUUUCCGCGCCGUAGCUAACGCAUUAAGUGCCCCGCCUGGGGAGUACGGCCGCAAGGCUAAAACUCAAAGGAAUUGACGGGGGCCCGCACAAGCGGCGGAGCAUGCGGAUUAAUUCGAUGCAACGCGAAGAACCUUACCAAGGCUUGACAUGAACCGGUAAGACCUGGAAACAGGUCCCCCCACUUGUGGCCGGUUUACAGGUGGUGCAUGGUUGUCGUCAGCUCGUGUCGUGAGAUGUUGGGUUAAGUCCCGCAACGAGCGCAACCCUCGUUCCAUGUUGCCAGCGCGUUAUGGCGGGGACUCAUGGGAGACUGCCGGGGUCAACUCGGAGGAAGGUGGGGACGACGUCAAAUCAUCAUGCCCCUUAUGUCUUGGGCUUCACGCAUGCUACAAUGGCCGGUACAAAGGGUUGCGAUACUGUGAGGUGGAGCUAAUCCCAAAAAGCCGGUCUCAGUUCGGAUUGGGGUCUGCAACUCGACCCCAUGAAGUCGGAGUCGCUAGUAAUCGCAGAUCAGCAACGCUGCGGUGAAUACGUUCCCGGGCCUUGUACACACCGCCCGUCAAGUCACGAAAGUUGGUAACACCCGAAGCCGGUGGCCUAACCCCUUGUGGGAGGGAGCUGUCGAAGUGGGACUGGCGAUUGGGACUAAGUCGUAACAAGGUAACC